CGGUUAGCAACUACUGUAGUAGCUCUGUAAUGCUUGAUCUUGGCUGAAGGUAGAAGAUGAAGAUUUGUUCCUUUUUACUAGUAAUUGCUUGAAGAACAUGAUGACUUUCCUGAUUGUCUAGAGUCGUCUUGCUGAAAACUUAUGAGAUUGUCGUAGCUGGUUGCAUCCUCGCAAGGAAUACUUUUAAAAUAGAAAUUGUUCCUUGCUGCACAUUCAUUGUGUCGCUGUUUGUCUUGUGUUCACGAUGUUAAUGGGGGCCAAACUAAAUAUAUUUUUAAUAUAGUUUACAUAUGAAUGUAUAUAGAUGAAUUGUAG
RNAcentral lists this long non-coding RNA (315 nucleotides) under Hordeum vulgare. RNAcentral's name for it is "long non-coding RNA (HVUL_LNC005714)". Lineage: Eukaryota; Viridiplantae; Streptophyta; Magnoliopsida; Poales; Poaceae. The record is from RNAcentral.